Molecule: ribosomal RNA, 524 nt
Filed under: uncultured bacterium
Lineage: Bacteria
Description: bacterial SSU rRNA
Rfam family: Bacterial small subunit ribosomal RNA
Source: RNAcentral
UGGGGAAUAUUGGAUAAUGGACCAAAAGUCUGAUCCAGCAAUUCUGUGUGCACGAUGACGUUUUUCGGAAUGUAAAGUGCUUUCAGUUGGGAAGAAAAAAAUGACGGUACCAACAGAAGAAGUGACGGCUAAAUACGUGCCAGCAGCCGCGGUAAUACGUAUGUCACAAGCGUUAUCCGGAUUUAUUGGGCGUAAAGCGCGUCUAGGUGGUUAUGUAAGUCUGAUGUGAAAAUGCAGGGCUCAACUCUGUAUUGCGUUGGAAACUGCAUGACUAGAGUACUGGAGAGGUAAGCGGAACUACAAGUGUAGAGGUGAAAUUCGUAGAUAUUUGUAGGAAUGCCGAUGGGGAAGCCAGCUUACUGGACAGAUACUGACGCUAAAGCGCGAAAGCGUGGGUAGCAAACAGGAUUAGAUACCCUGGUAGUCCACGCCGUAAACGAUGAUUACUAGGUGUUGGGGGUCGAACCUCAGCGCCCAAGCUAACGCGAUAAGUAAUCCGCCUGGGGAGUACGUACGCAAGUAUG